This 299-nucleotide ribosomal RNA is filed under the name Salmonella enterica. RNAcentral's name for it is "partial 23S ribosomal RNA". It matches the Rfam family "Bacterial large subunit ribosomal RNA", at positions 897 to 1194 of the family's 2925-position model. The record is from RNAcentral. Lineage: Bacteria; Pseudomonadati; Pseudomonadota; Gammaproteobacteria; Enterobacterales; Enterobacteriaceae.
CGGGGGUAGAGCACUGUUUCGGCUAGGGGGCCAUCCCGGCUUACCAACCCGAUGCAAACUGCGAAUACCGGAGAAUGUUAUCACGGGAGACACACGGCGGGUGCUAACGUCCGUCGUGAAGAGGGAAACAACCCAGACCGCCAGCUAAGGUCCCAAAGUCAUGGUUAAGUGGGAAACGAUGUGGGAAGGCCCAGACAGCCAGGAUGUUGGCUUAGAAGCAGCCAUCAUUUAAAGAAAGCGUAAUAGCUCACUGGUCGAGUCGGCCUGCGCGGAAGAUGUAACGGGGCUAAACCAUGCAC